Molecule: ribosomal RNA, 2809 nt
Filed under: Vibrio parahaemolyticus
Lineage: Bacteria; Pseudomonadati; Pseudomonadota; Gammaproteobacteria; Vibrionales; Vibrionaceae
Description: bacterial LSU rRNA
Rfam family: Bacterial large subunit ribosomal RNA
Source: RNAcentral
GUUGUAUGGUUAAGUGACUAAGCGUACACGGUGGAUGCCUUGGCAGUCAGAGGCGAUGAAAGACGUAGUAACUUGCGAUAAGCCCAGAUUAGGUAGUAACAACCAUUUGAGUCUGGGAUUUCUGAAUGGGGAAACCCACGUGCAUAAGCACGUAUCCUUACCUGAAUACAUAGGGUAAGGAGGCGAACCGGGGGAACUGAAACAUCUAAGUACCCCGAGGAAAAGAAAUCAACCGAGAUUCCGAAAGUAGCGGCGAGCGAAAUUGGACUAGCCCUUAAGCUUUACACGCGUUAGACGAACGGUCUGGAAAGUCCGACGAUACAGGGUGAUAGUCCCGUAGUUGACGACGUGUGUUCAGUGAAAUCGAGUAGGGCGGGACACGUGAUAUCCUGUCUGAAUAUGGGGGGACCAUCCUCCAAGGCUAAAUACUACUGACUGACCGAUAGUGAACCAGUACCGUGAGGGAAAGGCGAAAAGAACCCCUGUGAGGGGAGUGAAAUAGAACCUGAAACCGUGUACGUACAAGCAGUAGGAGCAGGCUUUGUCCUGUGACUGCGUACCUUUUGUAUAAUGGGUCAGCGACUUAUAUUCAGUGGCAAGGUUAACCAUCUAGGGGAGCCGUAGGGAAACCGAGUCUUAACUGGGCGUUCAGUCUCUGGAUAUAGACCCGAAACCAGGUGAUCUAGCCAUGGGCAGGUUGAAGGUUGAGUAACAUCAACUGGAGGACCGAACCGACUAAUGUUGAAAAAUUAGCGGAUGACUUGUGGCUAGGGGUGAAAGGCCAAUCAAACCUGGAGAUAGCUGGUUCUCCCCGAAAGCUAUUUAGGUAGCGCCUCGGACGAAUACUACUGGGGGUAGAGCACUGUUAAGGCUACAGACCGCCAGCUAAGGUCCCAAAUUACUACUAAGUGGGAAACGAUGUGGGAAGGCUCAGACAGCCAGGAUGUUGGCUUAGAAGCAGCCAUCAUUUAAAGAAAGCGUAAUAGCUCACUGGUCGAGUCGGCCUGCGCGGAAGAUGUAACGGGGCUAAGUAGUAAACCGAAGCUGCGGCAAUAUACUUUUGUAUAUUGGGUAGGGGAGCGUUCUGUAAGCGGUUGAAGGUGUGUGGUAACGCAUGCUGGACGUAUCAGAAGUGCGAAUGCUGACAUGAGUAACGAUAAAGGGGGUGAAAAACCUCCUCGCCGGAAGACCAAGGGUUCCUGUCCAACGUUAAUCGGGGCAGGGUAAGUCGACCCCUAAGGCGAGGCCGAAAGGCGUAGUCGAUGGGAAACGGGUUAAUAUUCCCGUACUUCUUACAAUUGCGAUGGGGGGACGGAGAAGGCUAGGUGGGCCUGGCGACGGUUGUCCAGGUUCAAGUGCGUAGGCUUAAGAGUUAGGUAAAUCCGGCUCUUUCUAAGGCUGAGACACGACGUCGAGCAUCUACGGAUGUGAAGUCAUUGAUGCCAUGCUUCCAGGAAAAGCCUCUAAGCUUCAGAUUGUAAGGAAUCGUACCCCAAACCGACACAGGUGGUCGGGUAGAGAAUACCAAGGCGCUUGAGAGAACUCGGGUGAAGGAACUAGGCAAAAUGGUACCGUAACUUCGGGAGAAGGUACGCUCUUGAUGGUGAAGUCCCUCGCGGAUGGAGCUGACGAGAGUCGCAGAUACCAGGUGGCUGCAACUGUUUAUUAAAAACACAGCACUGUGCAAAAUCGUAAGAUGACGUAUACGGUGUGACGCCUGCCCGGUGCCGGAAGGUUAAUUGAUGGGGUUAGACUUCGGUCGAAGCUCUUGAUCGAAGCCCCGGUAAACGGCGGCCGUAACUAUAACGGUCCUAAGGUAGCGAAAUUCCUUGUCGGGUAAGUUCCGACCUGCACGAAUGGCGUAAUGAUGGCCACGCUGUCUCCACCCGAGACUCAGUGAAAUUGAAAUCGCUGUGAAGAUGCAGUGUACCCGCGGCUAGACGGAAAGACCCCGUGAACCUUUACUACAGCUUGGCACUGAACAUUGACCCUACAUGUGUAGGAUAGGUGGGAGGCUUUGAAGCACGUACGCCAGUAUGUGUGGAGCCGUCCUUGAAAUACCACCCUUGUAGUGUUGAUGUUCUAACGUCGACCCCUUAUCGGGGUUGCGGACAGUGCCUGGUGGGUAGUUUGACUGGGGCGGUCUCCUCCCAAAGAGUAACGGAGGAGCACGAAGGUGGGCUAAUCACGGUUGGACAUCGUGAGGUUAGUGCAAUGGCAUAAGCCCGCUUGACUGCGAGAAUGACAAUUCGAGCAGGUGCGAAAGCAGGUCAUAGUGAUCCGGUGGUUCUGAAUGGAAGGGCCAUCGCUCAACGGAUAAAAGGUACUCCGGGGAUAACAGGCUGAUACCGCCCAAGAGUUCAUAUCGACGGCGGUGUUUGGCACCUCGAUGUCGGCUCAUCACAUCCUGGGGCUGAAGUCGGUCCCAAGGGUAUGGCUGUUCGCCAUUUAAAGUGGUACGCGAGCUGGGUUUAGAACGUCGUGAGACAGUUCGGUCCCUAUCUGCCGUGGGCGUUGGAAGAUUGAAGGGGGCUGCUCCUAGUACGAGAGGACCGGAGUGGACGAACCUCUGGUGUUCGGGUUGUGUCGCCAGACGCAUUGCCCGGUAGCUAAGUUCGGAAUCGAUAACCGCUGAAAGCAUCUAAGCGGGAAGCGAGCCCUGAGAUGAGUCUUCCCUGAUACUUUAAGUAUCCUAAAGGGUUGUCGGAGACUACGACGUUGAUAGGUCAGGUGUGUAAGUGCUGUGAGGCAUUGAGCUAACUGAUACUAAUUGCCCGUGAGGCUUAACCAUACAACACCCAAGGGGUUU